GUGCUUGCCUGGGCAGCACAUGUACUAAAACUGGAACGAUGACGAGAAGAUCAGCAUGGCUCCUGGGCAAGGAUGAGAUGUGCAAAUUCAUGAAUCGCUCAACAUUAAU
This is a small nuclear RNA of Monodelphis domestica (gray short-tailed opossum), 109 nucleotides long. The record is from Ensembl. Lineage: Eukaryota; Metazoa; Chordata; Mammalia; Didelphimorphia; Didelphidae.